CCUACGGGGGGCAGCAGUGAGGAAUAUUGGUCAAUGGGCGCGAGCCUGAACCAGCCAAGUCGCGUGAGGGAUGACGGUCCUACGGAUUGUAAACCUCUUUUGCCGGGGAGCAAGCGUGCGUUCGUGAACGCACGUCGAGAGUACCCGGAGAAAAAGCAUCGGCUAACUCCGUGCCAGCAGCCGCGGUAAUACGGAGGAUGCGAGCGUUAUCCGGAUUUAUUGGGUUUAAAGGGAGCGCAGGCGGCGCGUUAAGCCUGGUGUGAAAGCCCGCGGCCCAACCGCGUGCC
Molecule: ribosomal RNA, 287 nt
Filed under: uncultured bacterium
Lineage: Bacteria
Description: partial 16S ribosomal RNA
Rfam family: Bacterial small subunit ribosomal RNA
Source: RNAcentral